GAUGAACGCUGGCGGUAUGCCUAACACAUGCAAGUCGUACGAGAGUUUUUAACUCUAGUGGCGGACGGGUGAGUAACACGUGAGAAUUUGCCUUUAGGAGGGGGAUAACAAUUGGAAACGAAUGCUAAUACCCCAUAUGCUUUUGAGUGAAAUGGAUUUUAUCCGCCUAGAGAGAAGCUCGCGGCUGAUUAGCUUGUUGGUAAGGUAAGAGCUUACCAAGGCGACGAUCAGUAUCUGGUUUGAGAGGACGAUCAGACACACUGGAACUGAGACACGGUCCAGACUCCUACGGGAGGCAGCAGUGGGGAAUUUUCCGCAAUGGGCGAAAGCCUGACGGAGCAAUACCGCGUGAGGGAAGAAUGCCUAUGGGUUGUAAACCNCUUUUUUCAGGGAGGAAUAAAAUGACGUGUACCUGAAGAAUAAGCAUCGGCUAACUCCGUG
Molecule: ribosomal RNA, 441 nt
Filed under: uncultured bacterium
Lineage: Bacteria
Description: bacterial SSU rRNA
Rfam family: Bacterial small subunit ribosomal RNA
Source: RNAcentral